This 690-nucleotide long non-coding RNA is filed under the name Ananas comosus (pineapple). RNAcentral's name for it is "long non-coding RNA (ACOM_LNC023428)". Lineage: Eukaryota; Viridiplantae; Streptophyta; Magnoliopsida; Poales; Bromeliaceae. The record is from RNAcentral.
UGCACCAUUGAGUUCCAGUACACGAAAUUGAGUACCAGUACACAACUCAAAUAUUCUGAUACAGAGGAUCCAGUUCUGCAAAUUUCGAAAGUUGGAUUUUCAGGUUUUUAGUAUGUUUUGAUAUAGCUUGAAUCAGUACCGGACACUGUAUCAAUAUCGGUACCCAGCUGAGUUCCGCAAAAGCUGAGAGCUGUCCAACCCAACAAACUAUUGUGCUCUAGUACCGGUACACAAUACCAAAACUGUAGUUUUUUAGAGAUUUUGAUCUCCGAAGUCUAUUUUCGCACCAAUUAGGCAUUGAAAACACUUCCAAGCUCUCUAAACUGAACCAAAAUUUUCAGAAUAGUAUUAAAUGCCAUUCCUCUCACUAAGACCUUGUAAUUUGUAAAAGUCUAGUGUGCUAUAGUUACUUUCUAAACUUUUAGUGAAAUUUCACUUUAAUCCCAAACUUCUAAAAUAGACAUCGAAUACCCUAAACUGUAAUAAGUCGUCCGCAUUUCCCCCUUCCAUCAAUUCCUGUUAGCAGGAGUUGGUAGAAAUUGACGGAAGAGAACAUAGCUCGAACUAGCACACAUCCUCAGCUGCGCUUCUGCCUCCACCUCCACUUGUGAAUUCUCCUCUGCCUCCACCUACGCAUCCACCUUCGCGUCUGUCAUCACUCAAGUACAUGUCUGCCUCUGCUUCCGCCUC